Molecule: long non-coding RNA, 301 nt
Filed under: Lathyrus oleraceus (garden pea)
Lineage: Eukaryota; Viridiplantae; Streptophyta; Magnoliopsida; Fabales; Fabaceae
Description: Pisum sativum (pea) long non-coding RNA (PSAT_LNC022944)
Source: RNAcentral
UUAGAAAUUAAGCAAAGUCCCAAACAGGAGAGGGGCAUCUGGCAGACCGGGGCAAGUCAUUUGACCAGUGGAAAUAAUUCAAACUGAGGUUGAAUUCAAGUAAGUGCACUAUCAGAGUGCGGUCCGGUAAGAUGUUGGGGUUCAUUGGAAGAGAGGAAUCGAGGUUGAUCCUGCUAAAAAAAAAAUAAAAAAAAUAUGCCUGAACCGAGAAUAAAGAAAGAGGUUCGUGGUCUAUUAGGUAGAUUGAGCUACAUGUCAUGGUUCACAUCUCAUCUGACAGCCACGUGGGAACCCAUUCAAG